Molecule: ribosomal RNA, 1480 nt
Filed under: metagenome
Description: bacterial SSU rRNA
Rfam family: Bacterial small subunit ribosomal RNA
Source: RNAcentral
AGAGUUUGAUCCUGGCUCAGGACGAACGCUGGCGGCGUGCCUAACACAUGCAAGUCGAGCGGAGACAGUGAGUAGCUUGCUAUGAGCUGUUUUAGCGGCCGACGGGUGAGUAACGCGUGAGCAACCUUUCCCAGACAGGGGAAUAACACACCGAAAGGUGUACUAAUACCGCAUAAGACCACGGGAUCACAUGGUUCUGGGGUAAAAGAUUUAUCGGUUUGGGGUGGGCUCGCGUCCGAUUAGGUAGUUGGUGAGGUAACGGCCCACCAAGCCGACGAUCGGUAGCCGACCUGAGAGGGUGAUCGGCCACAUUGGGACUGAGACACGGCCCAAACUCCUACGGGAGGCAGCAGUGGGAAUAUUGGGCAAUGGAGGAAACUCUGACCCAGCAACGCCGCGUGGAGGAAGAAGGUUUUCGGAUCGUAAACUCCUGUCCUUGGAGACGAGUAGAAGACGGUAUCCAAGGAGGAAGCCCCGGCUAACUACGUGCCAGCAGCCGCGGUAAUACGUAGGGGGCAAGCGUUGUCCGGAGUAAUUGGGCGUAAAGGGCGCGUAGGCGGCUCGGUAAGUCUGGAGUGAAAGUCCUGCUUUUAAGGUGGGAAUUGCUUUGGAUACUGUCGGGCUUGAGUGCAGGAGAGGUUAGUGGAAUUCCCAGUGUAGCGGUGAAAUGCGUAGAGAUUGGGAGGAACACCAGUGGCGAAGGCGACUAACUGGACUGUAACUGACGCUGAGGCGCGAAAGUGUGGGGAGCAAACAGGAUUAGAUACCCUGGUAGUCCACACUGUAAACGAUGAAUGCUAGGUGUAGGGGGUAUCGACCCCUUCUGUGCCGCAGUCAACACAAUAAGCAUUCCGCCUGGGGAGUACGGCCGCAAGGUUGAAACUCAAAGGAAUUGACGGGGGCCCGCACAAGCAGCGGAGCAUGUGGUUUAAUUCGACGCAACGCGAAGAACCUUACCAGGUCUUGACAUCCACUUAAACUUACAGAGAUGUAAGGUGUGCUUGCACAAAGUGAGACAGGUGGUGCAUGGUUGUCGUCAGCUCGUGUCGUGAGAUGUUGGGUUAAGUCCCGCAACGAGCGCAACCCUUAUCUUCAGUUACUAACGCGUGAGGGUGAGGACUCUGAAGAGACUGCCGGGGACAACUCGGAGGAAGGUGGGGACGACGUCAAAUCAUCAUGCCCCUUAUGACCUGGGCUACACACGUGCUACAAUGGCCACGACAGAGAGAAGCGAAAUCGCAAGGUAGAGCGGAACUCAAAAAAGUGGUCCCAGUUCGGAUUGUGGGCUGCAACCCGCCCACAUGAAGUCGGAGUUGCUAGUAAUCGCGGAUCAGCAUGCCGCGGUGAAUACGUUCCCGGGCCUUGUACACACCGCCCGUCACACCAUGGGAGUUGGGAGUGCCCAAAGCCGGUGAGGCAACCGCAAGGAGCCAGCCGUCUAAGGCAAGACCAAUGACUGGGGUGAAGUCGUAACAAGGUA